UACGACGUCGAAAUUGUCGUCGUUUGAAGACCUGCAGUCCAUAAAGUCGAUGGGGUUUCGAGGAGAAGCUCUUGCGAGCAUGACGUAUGUGGCUCAUGUGACGGUGACGACGAUCACCAAAGGGCAGUUGCAUGGUUAUAGGGUCUCUUAUAAAGAUGGAGUGAUAGAGCAUGAGCCGAAGGCGUGCGCUGCCGUAAAAGGAACUCAGAUGAUGAUUGAGAACUUAUUCUAUAACAUGUCUGCCCGGAGAAAGAAUCUGCAAAACUCUGCGGAUGAUUUUUCAAAGAUUGUAGAUUUGUUAAGCCGGUUUGCCAUUCAUCACCACAAGUGUUAGCUUCUCCUGCAGAAAGCAUGGAGCCGGUAGAGCAGAUGUUAGUUCUGUUGCCACAUUAUCAAGAAUUGAUGCGAUUCGUUCAGUUUAUGGGGUGUCAGUUGCCCGCAGUCUGAUGAAAGUAGAAGCUUUGGACAAUGAUCCGUCGAGCUCAGUUUUCCAGAUGGAUGGCUUUAUCUCCAAUUCCGAAUAUGUUGCGAAGAAGAUAACUAUGGUGCUUUUUAUAAACGGUGAGUCUUCUGAAUCAGGAAGUCAUCAUUGAGAAGAUACAGUCAGUGGUUGAAUCAAGAUUGAGAAGCUCCAAUGAGACAGAUAUUUCAGGAGCAGUUAAGCUCCAAUACGCACCGACUCAAUUUGGUAUAGGGAUGUUUAUGCCUUUGAAACAUCCGAUCCCAAGCAGCACGGAAUCAGGAAGAUGGAUGCCACUUUAUUGGAGGCAAGUUAUUCCCUUGGAUGGUGCAGCUGGGCGGCAAAUUGUACGCCCUUUGCUAUAUGGGGGUGCCCGAUCCUCUGGCAUUUGAGGUAUUUGACCCUAAACUGCAGACUUGGUCUGCUCUACCUCAGCCUCCAUUUUUCCAAGUUGGCUCUCGAUAUUACAACCAUGCUCCUUUUGCUUAUGCAAUUGCUGGCACCAAAAUGUUUGUCUCCCAUGAACUAUGUCCAGUCUUCUGCUUUGAUGUCUCCCACCCAGACUCUGAAUGGAGACUAGUCCCCACUAUGUGCCAAGGCGGCCCUUUUCUUUUCUCGGCACAGCUUUAGUCCUGGACCUGCCGGCUGGUGGCAACAAGAAAAUAUUGUUUGGCCAUAAUGCUCGUCGUUGUUUUAGUCUGGGAGUUCAUCUUAUGUCGGGGUUGGAUGAAAAUGAAGAAUCCAUCACACAAAUUGGGGAUUUGAAACUGCCAAUAUGGCCUUAUGAGUUGGGUUCCCCAGCAGCUUCUGAUUUUGUCCACAUAGGAGGUCAAAAAGCCUGCCUCGUUAUCACCCAAUUCACAUCAUCAGUGGAAGAGGAACCUAGAUGGAAUGAGCCGGGGACUCAUAAGAUCGACACAAGGGGUUGCCAUACCAUUUCAAUUUGAGAUUGAUAUCACCAAGCUGGACAACGACGAGAAAGAUUGCUUCACUCUCCAAUUCAUGCCUCCUCGCAUCUUCCAAUACCAGACUAACCAGCCACUUAUCCAAGCCCUGAAACGGUACUUGGCAGCAAAGGGGUGAGAGUCUGGUGAUUGUGAAAGAUAUUCCAAAUAUUAUCGUUCGCCUUAGCCAGGUGAAUGGGUCAGUAUUUCUUAGCUUAUUUCUUCUGCAAUUAUUUGUCUUACAAUAAAAUCUGAUUGGAAGUUUAAUUUCUUCUGUUAAACUUUUUCAUAAAUGUAUUAAAGCGGUUGGUACUUCAUAUGUAGAUUGUCAUUGCAUACCUGUGAUAUGACUGUGUAAGGAU
Molecule: long non-coding RNA, 1766 nt
Organism: Rosa rugosa (rugosa rose)
Lineage: Eukaryota; Viridiplantae; Streptophyta; Magnoliopsida; Rosales; Rosaceae
Exons: 7
Source: RefSeq, a predicted model, not a curated record